AUCUACACCCAUACUGCCCUGAACACCCCAGACCUCAUCUGAUCUCGGAAGCUAAGUAGGAUCGGGCCUGCUUAGUACUUGGAUGGAAGAAA
Molecule: ribosomal RNA, 92 nt
Filed under: Castor canadensis (American beaver)
Lineage: Eukaryota; Metazoa; Chordata; Mammalia; Rodentia; Castoridae
Source: RNAcentral